This 482-nucleotide ribosomal RNA is filed under the name uncultured bacterium. Its description in RNAcentral is "partial 16S ribosomal RNA". It matches the Rfam family "Bacterial small subunit ribosomal RNA", at positions 29 to 507 of the family's 1533-position model. The record is from RNAcentral.
AUUGAACGCUGGCGGCAUGCCUUACACAUGCAAGUCGAACGGUAACGGGCCUUCGGGUGCCGACGCGUGGCGAACGGGUGAGUAAUACAUCGGAACGUGCCCGACCGUGGGGGAUAACGAGGCGAAAGCUUUGCUAAUCCCGCAUCCGAUCUACGGAUGAAAGGAAGGGACCGGGAGGCCUUGCUCGGGCGGAGCGGCCGAUGGCAGCGUAGGUUGUGGGUGGGGUAAAAGCUUACCCAGACGACGAGCUGGAGCUGGUCUGAGAGGAGGAUCAGCCACAUUGGGACUGAGACACGGCCAUGACUACUACGGGAGGCAGCAGUGUGGAAUGGUGGACAAUGGUGGCAAGCCUGAUCCAGCCAUGCCGCGCGCAGGAUGAAGGCGUUCGGGUUGGGAACUGCGUUUGUACGGAACGAAAAGCCUUCUUUUAAUACAGGAGGUGCAUGACGGUACCGUAAGAAUAAGCACCGGCUAACUACGUG